Non-coding RNA from Monodelphis domestica (gray short-tailed opossum), 1288 nucleotides. The record is from RefSeq and is a predicted model, not a curated record. NCBI's taxonomy places the organism in Eukaryota, Metazoa, Chordata, Mammalia, Didelphimorphia, Didelphidae.
AUGAGAGCGGAAGGGGCGGUUCUUGGACUGAAUGGGAGGCGGGGCCCUUGGGCGGGGCUUCCGCUGCAGAAGUGGGCUAACGCUAGGGGUGGAGACUGGAGUGCUUCCCUGGCCCUUUCCCCCUCGAUAGUUUCGGCACCUUUUGGCCCCGCCUACCCCGGGGCCCUAGAAACGAAGGAGUUUUGUUCUCUGAUAAAUGCCCUGUGGUGGCAUCAUGCCUCAUCAGUCCAUCAACGAGCAUUUAUUAACUUAGUGAUUAAUGCUCUGCCCUGCGCUGAAGAUACUAAAGCAAAAACUCAAUUCCUGCCCUCCAGGAGAUCACAGUCUAAUUAGGCAGACAACUUGCCAAAGACUAGUGUAAAAUAAUCUGAGAAGGAAUACCAGGAUACCUGGUAUUGACUCCAAGACGGAAGGGUGACCAGGGGUGCCCCUUGAUCUGCAGGACUGAGGUCUUACCCAAGAACCUGGGUAGGUGCUUUAGUCUCUUCCAUUGGGAAAUGUAUUCUGGACCCUUUUUACAGAAUAUUGAGAUGAUGCAGCUACUACUGAUUGGUCACCAGGGACAAAGCUUGCGGGAAGACUCAGAAUGAGGAGGAGAUGACCUUUAAAGAGAAACUGAGUGGAUAGAAACAGAUUGAUCUUUCUUUUGCAACUCUUCCAGCAUUUCUCACAUGAGCUUCCAGGAAAGGCAACUCCUCCCACCCCAGCAGCAAUGGCAACUAUAGGCUCAGAUCAAUUGGAAUAUGUUCUUACUUAGGUGAGCCUAAAUCUUUGGUCACCUGCUUUCGUUUUCUGUUGUUUUCCCUGGGCAGAGGCCAGUGACAAGCAAUCCUAAGACAUGGCAGUUUCCAGUUUGGGCAGUAACCUUAGGAGUUCAAACGAUCAAGCAAAGCAAGAGUUUCAUAGAAAGUAAUUCUUGAAAAAGCAAAGUUCCCAGAGAAGAACAAGGAUCCCUGGAUAAUACUAUAGCUGAAAGUCUUAAAAGAGCCAAAGCCAUGUCUGGUUGAUCAAGGAAUUUUCACCUUCUAAAGUUCAGAAUACAAAUCUGAGAUUUAAGUGAAAUAUCUAUUUCAUCAGUCCCAAAAAACAUUAUAAUGUGUUGUGGGGGCUUUUAAAAAUGUUUCUAUAUUUGCUAAUAUAUGCAUAUCAGUUUUUGUGUUUUAAGUAUUUUCAGCAAUAGAGGAAAUAAUUCACUAUCCUAUAUGUGAUAUUGAAUACGUUUUUCAAGAAAGGAUGCCAUUAUCCACCUUUGAGUAAUCCAUUAAAGAUGAGCCUUACCAAAACUAAA